RNAcentral lists this ribosomal RNA (952 nucleotides) under Paenibacillus polymyxa. Its description in RNAcentral is "bacterial SSU rRNA". It matches the Rfam family "Bacterial small subunit ribosomal RNA", at positions 1 to 975 of the family's 1533-position model. The record is from RNAcentral. Lineage: Bacteria; Bacillati; Bacillota; Bacilli; Caryophanales; Paenibacillaceae.
CCUCAUAAACACUGCCUAUGUUCUUAACGGCAGCGCCGGGAGAACCUUGCUUUUCCUGCCGGCGAGUGGCGAACGUUGUGAGUAAUACAUCGGACCGUGUCCUGUAGUGGGGGAUAACUAGUCAAAAGAUUAGCUAAUACCGCAUACGACCUGAGGGUGAAAGUGGGGCACCGCAAGGCCUCGUGCUAUAAGAGCGGCCGAUGUCUGAUUAUCUAGUUGGUGGGGUAAAGGCCUACCAAGGCGACGAUCAGUAGCUGGUCUGAGAGGACGAUCACCCACACUGGGACUGAGACACGGCCCACACUCCUACGGGAGGCAGCAGUGGGGAAUUUUGGACUGUGGGCGAAAGCCUGAUCCAGCAAUGCCGCGUGUGUGAAGAAGGCCUUCGGGUUGUAAAGCACUUUUGUCCGGAAAGAAAUGGCUCUGGUUAAUACCUGGGGUCGAUGACGGUACCGGAAGAAUAAGGACCGGCUAACUACGUGCCAGCAGCCGCGGUAAUACGUAGGGUCCAAGCGUUAAUCGGAAUUACUGGGCGUAAAGCGUGCGCAGGCGGUUGUGCAAGACCGAUGUGAAAUCCCCGAGCUUAACUUGGGAAUUGCAUUGGUGACUGCACGGCUAGAGUGUGUCAGAGGGGGGUAGAACUCCACGUGUAGCAGUGAUAUGCGUAGAGAUGUGGAGGAUACCGAUGGCGAACGCAGCCCCCUGGGAUAACACUGACGCUCAUGCACGAAGCGUGGGGAGCAAACAGGAUUAUAUACCCUGGUAGUCCACUCCCUACACGAUGUCAUCUAGUUGUUGGGCGAUUCAUUUCCUUAGUCACGUAGCUAACCGCGUGAAGCUGACCGCCUGGGGAGUACGGGCCGCAAGAUUAAAACUCAAAGGAAUUGACGGGGACCCGCACAAGCGGUGGGACGAUGUGGAUUAAUUUCGAUGCAACGCGAAAAACCUUACC